GCGAAGCGAAGCAGCGAUGUGAAGCAAAUCGCACCAAAGCCGGUCCCAGUUCGGAUAAGAGGCUGAAACUCGCCUCUUUGAAGUCGGAAUCGCUAGUAAUCGCAGAUCAGCAUGUUGCGGUGAAUACGUUUCCUGGUCUUGUACACACCGCCCGUCAAACCAUGAGAGUCGCCAACACCCGAAGUCCGCUUUGCGGCCUAAGGUGGGGGAGAUGAUUGGGGUUAAGUCGUAACAAGGUAAC
This 241-nucleotide ribosomal RNA is filed under the name uncultured bacterium. RNAcentral describes it as "partial 16S ribosomal RNA". It matches the Rfam family "Bacterial small subunit ribosomal RNA", at positions 1244 to 1500 of the family's 1533-position model. The record is from RNAcentral.